This is an RNA transcript of Hippocampus comes (tiger tail seahorse), 726 nucleotides long. It is a transcript of the gene named ubiquitin-conjugating enzyme E2 R2-like, with no coding region annotated. Lineage: Eukaryota; Metazoa; Chordata; Actinopteri; Syngnathiformes; Syngnathidae. The transcript is spliced from 2 exons. The record is from RefSeq and is a predicted model, not a curated record.
UUACGGACGUCGAUGACGCACCGCAGACACGCGCAAUGGUAACCGGAAGCAUCGUUGAGAGGAAAAUAAAAAUCGAUCAAAACCCCAGUUGGUCUUGAGGGUAAUUUUCACCAGAUGUCAAUUCUCCGCCGUAGAUUCGCAUUCGAUUGCCCUUAACACUACUGUCGUCGGAAGAAACGGUAGCGUGCAGGAAAAAAACUGCCCCGUUUGACCGAAGUUGCUCGCUAACUGGUUUAGCUGACGUGGGGAGAAGUUGAGACUGCCAGAGAGCAGAGGGACAAACACAAACAAGCUGGGAUCAGCUGAGCGCCUGUCCGAACCGAACCAGCGGCGCGGGGACAUGUCACGGAGUGCGACUUUGCUCUUCCGAGCCCAAGAAUGAUCCACGGGACACGGUGACUUCCACUGAAACUAGCUCCAUGUAGACUAUCAACAGUGGCAACACAAAGAAUUUCGGCAGCACCACACGAGGAUCAGCCAUAAGCAGGAGAAGAACAUCCACGGCUCAUGUCACCACUGUGUGUCACUUUAGCCAAGCACUACCAAUGACUUUGUUGUCCAGUUCUCUGCUGUAACCUCACGAAUACAUAUUACGUUGCAGGAAGACAGAAGUGGGAUGAGCAUGGCCCACCAAGCAACCCCUAGUUCUCAGAAGGCCCUGAUGAUGGAGUUGAAGUCGCUGCAGGAGCAGCCAGUGGAGGGCUUCCGCAUCACUCUGGUUCAUGA